Trichobilharzia regenti is the source of this 45-nucleotide non-coding RNA. The record is from Rfam. NCBI's taxonomy places the organism in Eukaryota, Metazoa, Platyhelminthes, Trematoda, Strigeidida, Schistosomatidae.
AUCCAGCUGACGAGUCCCAAAUAGGACGAAAUGCGCAUCCUGGAU